RNAcentral lists this ribosomal RNA (393 nucleotides) under uncultured bacterium. Its description in RNAcentral is "bacterial SSU rRNA". It matches the Rfam family "Bacterial small subunit ribosomal RNA", at positions 28 to 424 of the family's 1533-position model. The record is from RNAcentral.
GACGAACGCUGGCGGCGUGCUUAACACAUGCAAGUCGAGCGGUAAGGCCCUUUCGGGGGGUACACGAGCGGCGAACGGGUGAGUAACACGUGGGUGACCUGCCCUCAGCUCUGGGAUAAGCCUGGGAAACCGGGUCUAAUACUGGAUAUGACUCCAUGACACAUGUUGUGGGGUGGAAAGCCUUGUGCGGCUGAGGAUGGGCCCGCGGCCUAUCAGCUUGUUGGUGGGGUGANGGCCUACCAAGGCGACGACGGGUAGCCGGCCUGAGAGGGCGACCGGCCACACUGGGACUGAGACACGGCCCAGACUCCUACGGGAGGCAGCAGUGGGGAAUCUUGCGCAAUGGGCGAAAGCCUGACGCAGCGACGCCGCGUGAGGGAUGACGGCCUGGUU